AAUAUUUUGUGAUCACGUGACAGGGAGAAGGAAUGUCUUGUCUUCAUUCCUGACAUGUUUCUGAACAGAACUUUGUAAAUAAACGAACAGACUUUCGUUGCUUGCAAUUAUUGAUUUUAAAACAGAUUAUAAAGAAGAACAAAGGUCUGUGGUGUAUAAUAUGAGAAUAUAACAAGUUCCAAUCCCGUUAACGUUCAACUCCGAUCGAUUUAUUUGGUAAAAUUCAUGGCUGCCGAAACACCUUUGGAUGUGCUCUCCCAUGCUGUCAGUUUGGUUGAGACAGGAGGAAAUCAGAUGGACGACUGUAGAGAUUCUCCUUCUAAAGAACUUCCGACUAAAGAGUUGAAAUAUAGAAGACUGAAAGAGAGGCGAGAACUUUCAAAUAUGUUGCCCUUAAGGGUUUGGAACAGAAAAUGUUCAUCUCCACAACAGUAAGGACAAUUUUUUAUUGGUUUUGAAUAUUUGCAUUUUUAUGCUGUAGAUGAUGAUUUUAAUACACAAAUA
This 504-nucleotide long non-coding RNA is filed under the name Androctonus crassicauda. Lineage: Eukaryota; Metazoa; Arthropoda; Arachnida; Scorpiones; Buthidae. The record is from RNAcentral.